AGCUAACGCUGGCGGCACGCCUAACACAUGCAAGUCGAACGUAAUUUUGUCCUUCGGGGUAAAGUUAGUGGCAAACGGGGUGAGUAAUAUAUAGCAAUCUACCCUUACGUGGGGGAUAGCCAUGGGAAACCGUGGGUAAUACCGCAUACCUUCGAGAGAAUAAAGUCUACGGACGCGAAAGGAGGAGGCUAUAUCAGAUUAGGUUGUUGGUAAGGUAACGGCUUACCAAGCCUGUGAUCUGUAGCUGGUCUGAGAGGAUGAUCAGCCACACUGGGACUGAGAUACGGCCCAG
RNAcentral lists this ribosomal RNA (292 nucleotides) under uncultured bacterium. Its description in RNAcentral is "partial 16S ribosomal RNA". It matches the Rfam family "Bacterial small subunit ribosomal RNA", at positions 29 to 334 of the family's 1533-position model. The record is from RNAcentral.